GCAGCUGUAAGUCUAGGGGUUUUUCUUCCUCCUCCAGGUGUGGGCCGCAAGCCAGUGAAAUAACAAAGCCUGAGCCUCAGGCCACAGCUCAGGGUGGGUGUGUUACUGCGACACAGAUCAACCCCCUUCGCUCCCCGACAGAGACACACAGCGGUCCCUGCUCCCCCUACCCAGAGACAGCACCAAGCCCCUGCCUUGAGUGUGUGCCUGCCCGGGAGGGGAUUGGCAGCAGAGGGCGAGUAGGAGGUAGGCUGGAUCGGAGCCCACCCACACCCUUCCCCUUCCAGUUCCCUGUUCGGCUUCCCAGCUCCCCUCCCGGUUGGGCCUUUCCUCCCAGCCCCCUCUGCCAGGGCUCCCUGGAAAACCAGGAGCGGGAGACUGCCUAGCUUGGGUUGCCCAUGGGCCCCGUUCCUUCCCCAGGGAGGUGACAGCCUGGGAGGUGGGUGCCCCAGUUUGGGAUCUGGCACUGGCAGCGGCAGGGAGGAAGCUGGAGCUGGAGGGGGCCAUUGCAGAGUCAGGAGAGAAAGGGCCUCCGAGGUUAAACCAAGGCCUGCUGAAGAGACUCUGCCCAACAGGGGCACCCUAUCUAGGGGCGCUCCAGGUAGGAGGCACCUUACUCCCUACAGCCCCAAGCUUGGCUAGGUGCUGGGUUCUGUGAAGGCUGGCUGCCCAAAUACCUGAGGCAGUGACUGCUCCAUGGCUCCACACAGGGACCCCCGCACCUCCUCUGGAAAGCUCAAACACUUUCUCAGUUUACCGUUAAGGCUAGGGCUCAAACAGUUGGGACAUGUCUGAGGUGUGAGCCAGAUCUCAUGACUGAACUCCGAGGGGCCCCGAGUGCUCUUGGAAGCUAAGUCCUCCUUAUCCCCAAGCCCACAGAAACUGCUCUCCACAGCACAAGAGGAAAACUGAUCCAACCCAGUCUUCCAAGAGGCUCCCCCUGCUGCCAUCGGUCGAUGAUUCCUCCCAAAUCCCAGCUCUCCCUUCGUGACCACAGUCAUUUCCAAUCACCCCACAUCAAAGAUUGAAAAGUGGGUGAUAGCACCGAGGCGCAGCUGGUAGGGAAAAAAAAAGUUGGACCCAGAGCCAACAGAUAAGGUCCUGACUGGGUCAGCUGAUUCCCAGGAUGUCACCUGGCUCCACCUGCCCCACAGUUGGGGUCUCACAGGCAACAGGAGGGGGCUGCCAGCAGGCCAGAGAGGUACCUUCAAGUGUCCGCCAACGGACACAGACCAGGCACAGAGCAAGCAAUGGGAAUUCGUCUGCACCACGGUCCAGAGAGACCCAGGGGAACCUGUAUUGGGGUUCUGGGAGAGGAGCCUCUGACCUGAGUGGGCAGGAAAAACAGGGCGGCAGAGGGCACCCAGGACAUGGAAACGAAGGAAUGUGUCUCGGGCCACCCACGUCCCUGACAUGUGAGCUUCAUGAAAGGUCGUCACGGAAAACGGCGGUCCUGGGUCAAACCUAGGUCCCUUUGUGUUUGUCCAGAGACCUCAAAACUGCUCAGCAUUACCUGAAAUCAUCAGUAUGUGACCAGACAAGGUUCCACUCAGUGGCCAAGGUCCCAAGCCUGGGCAUAGCAUUGCCCACCUGCUCUGGAGAGCCACAUUCUUCUCUCAAGCUACCCUGGCUACAGGGAGCAGUGAGCUCCUGGAGCGCUCUCCCAAGCUGGCAGCAGGCACAGAGCCCACCUCAGGAUCCAGCAGACCCCAGCACCUACAGCAUCCUCCUCACCGAGGCCAAGGCUGCAUAACGGGAAUCCUCGUCACAAGCCCAGCCAUGUUUUUAUCUUCUCCUCAAUAAUUCUUCAUGUCCAUAGUGACCCUGAAUAAUGUGCGUAAGAACAGCAUAAAAAUGUUCAUCCCUGAGCUGGGCAGUGGUGGCUCACGCCUUUAAUCCCAGCACUCAGGAGGUGGAGGUGGAGGCAGAGGCAGGCGGAUCUCUGUGAGUUCGAGGCCAGCCUGGUUUACAGAGCAAGUUCCAGGAAAGGCGCAAAGCUACACAGAGAAACCCUGUCUCGAAAACAAACAAACAAAAAAAUAGUUCAUCCUUAGGGCUGGAGAGAUGGCUCAGUGGUUAAGAGUCCUUGCUGCUCUUCCAGAGGGCCCCGGCUCCUAACCACCACAAAACAGCAUGCAACUCUAGCUCCCGAUUUGACUUCCUCUUCUGGCCUCCACAGGCAUUGGCACACACAUGGUACAUGCUCGCACACAUACACAUACACACACACACACACACACACACACACACACACACACACGCACAAAUAAAAGUCAUCUUUAGUGAGGAAAUGCUCAUCCUUGAACUCCUGAUCCUCCUGCCUCUGCCUUCCACGGGCUGGGAUUUAUCACGGUGUCCACUGUGCCUGACCUCUGUGGUGCUUGGGAUGGACCCCAGGGCCUUGUGCAUGCCAAGAACCCCACUAACUGAACCACCCGACAGCUGCUUUGGUUGACUUUUGUUUCCUGAGAGGGUCUCACAGACCAGGGCUGCCCACACACUUGCUAUACAGCUGAGAACUUGAACUCCUGAUCCCCCUGCCUCCACCUGCCACAAGCGGAGAUUACAGGUCUGUGCCCACCAUGCCUCGUGAGAGCUGCAAUACCAACUAAUCUCCACAUUGUACCACCUUCAACCUCCAGACAGAUUUAUUUUUUUUUUUUUUUUAAAGAAGAUGUGAAUUGACAAGAAUGGGCUGAACAAGGGAAAAGACAUUACCAACAACAUUUCAAGACUGGGGAAGCAACGUAACAGUCAAAGACCGGCAUAGAAAAGCUGAUUUCAACACACAGUCCUUAACAGACACUUGUCUCCACGGCACCAGGCACCUGUGGGACUAGACUGAAGAGGACACACGUGUGAGGAUAAAGAGGCUGGCUCGAGAACCCUCCCUACACCUGCUUCUCCUCAAGUCACAACUUCAGGUUCUCUGGAGGGCAAGAUGGCUGAGGGAGAGGUGCCACAGCCCAGCCAGGCAGUCCGUUUCAGUGCUGAUGUGAGUUCUUAGGCUCUUCCCCCACUGGACUGGGAAACCGUGGCAGCCAGGCCCAGAUCUCCUCUAGAGCAAAGGCCUAAGGAUGCAGCACUCACAUCAGCACCACGAUGGGGUCAGGACUGCCUGUCUGGUCCACCAGUGUGGAUCUGAGGGUUGACGAGCCUUCAGGCUCAGAGCUUCCAAACAACUUCUCUGGGUUAGUUGGUUUCAGUUGUUGUUUUGGUUUUUUGUUUGUUUUAUUUUCUGAGAUAGGAUCUUAUUAUAGCGCCCAGGAUGGCCUGGAACUUUCUGUGUAGCCUAGGAUGGCCUCAAACUGAAGAUUUUCCUGCUUCUACCAUGUGAACAGUGAUUUCAGGCAUGAACCAUCACACCUGGCCAGUCCCCCAUUCAUUGCUUAUUUAUUUAUUUAUUUAAAGGAUCUCACUAUGUAGCCCUGGCUGGCCUGGAACUUGCUACAUAGACUAGGCUGGCUUAUAACUCAGAGCUCUGCCUGCUUCUGCCUCCUGCAAUCCCACUCUUAAUCUAGAAAGGUCAACCAAGGGCCAAUAGAUGUUUUAUAGGAAAGCACCUGACUUGGAAAAUAGGGACCAGAAUAAAUAACAUCAAACCAACUGGGACAAAACACAACGAUGGUAACAGGAAGUGGGUGAAACAAAUGUUAGAUACAGAGAAGAUGUUUUUAUAGCCGCAAAACAAGAAUGUGAUGCUACAGAAAAAGAAAAGUUAGAGAACAGGAAAGGACUUCUGGGGGCUGUAGAGACGCACAGCUGUUAAGAGUACACACCGCUCUUAAGAACAGAAUCCAGCUCCCAGCACGCUGUGGAACAACCUUUCUGUACACUGUGAAUAUUUGUUGCUCUCAUUGUUUUUUGUUUUUUUCUUUUUAAAUUUAUUUAUUAUACACUAUAUAUAGUGUCCUGUCUGCAUGUAUCCCUGCCUGCCAGAAGAGGGCACCAGAUCUCAUUACAGAUGGUUGUGAGCCACCAUGUGGUUGCUGGGAAUUGAACUCAGGACCUAUGGAAGAACAGUCAGUGCUUUUAACCUCUGAGCCAUUUCUCUAGCCCUGCUCUCAUUGUUUAAUAAAAGGCUAAAUGGCCAAUAGCUAGGCAGGUAGAGGUUAGGCGGGACUUGCGGACAAAAAGAGAGGCUGGGAAGAAGAAGGGCGGAGUCACCAGCCAGAUGCAGAGGAAACAGGAGAUGAACAUGCCAUGCUGAAAAAGGUACCACCCUGCGGUAGAGUGUCGAUAAGAAAUAUGGUUGAUUUAAGUUGAAAGAGCUAGUUAAUAACAAACCUAAGCUAUUGGCCAAGCAUUUAUAAUUAAUAAUAAGUCCCUGUGUGAUUAUUUGGGAGCAGGCUGGCAGGACAGAAAACCCCACCUACACAGCACUCACAUCAACUGGCUUAUAAUCACCUGUAACUCUAGUUUCUGGGGAUGUGACACCUCUGGCUUCUUGUGUAUCUACAUUCACAUACACAGACAGGCAUGCAGGCACACACAUCGCUAAAACAUAAAUGCAUCUUUUUAAAAAAAAGGAACUUGUAGAAAUACAAAAUCAUGGUAGUAGAAAUACAAAACUCGGUGGCUGACUAGAAAUAAAGUGAUUUAUCGUAUGAUCCAGGAUCUCGCUAGCCCACUAUCAUACCAACACAUAUCCAAAAGAGUUGAAAGAUGUCAAAAGAGACAUCUGUACUUAUUUACUGAGGUGCUGUUUGUGAUAGGGAAUCCACCAACGGACGACCAAAUAAAGAGAAGAUGGGAUGUAUGCCCAACCAAGCAUUGUUCAGUUACAAAACAAUGAAAUUGCCAUUUGCAGUCACAGGGAAGGGCUGGGAGCACCUUAGAUUAGGAAAUAAAUCACUGGGCAGUGGUGGCACACAUCUUUAAUCCUAGCAUUUGGGAGGCAGAGACAGGUGGAUCUCUGUGAGUUCAAGGCCAGCUUGGUCUACAGAGCGAGAUCCAGGACAGCCAGAGCUGUUAUGAUACGGAGAAAUCCUGUAUCAAAAACAAACAAAAACAAAACAAAACAAAAAAAAAAAAAACAAAGAAAGAAAAAGAAAGCAGGCAUGGGAAGACAAAUAUCACAUGACUUUAUUUACAUGUAAAAGUUUGCCCAGGCAUGGUGGCGCACGCCUUUUAUCCCAGCAUUUGGGAGGCAGAGACAGGCAGAUCUGUGAGUUUAAGGACAGUCUGGUCUACGGAGCAAGUUCCAAGCCUGCCAGAGCUACAGAGGGAGACCCUGCCUCAGGGAAGAGGAGGGGGAGAAAGCUGUUUUACAUGUUGGUCUCACAGAAAAAAGUAUAGACUGGCAGUUACCAGAGGAAGGGAAGAGAUGUGAGAAGGUGAGAAAAGAUGGUUAAUGGGUACAGGGGCACAGCUAGGUCCAAGAAAUAAUGGUACAGGGCACAGCUAGGUACAUGUAAUAACUUUUUUUAAAAGUUCUUUUUUUUAAUGUGUAUUGUAUGUGCGUGACUAUGUGUGUCACAUGUGUGGGUUCCCUCAGAGGCCAGAGAGGGGCGCUGUAUCCCCAGGAAAUGGAUCCUAGGGCAACUAUGGUCCCGGGAACAGAACUCAGGCCCUCUGCAACUGCUGAGCCAUCUCUCCAGCUUCCUGAAGGAGUAACUUUCAUGCUCUGCAGCCCAGGAGAGCAACGAAGAGGAGUUUGUUCCUAACACAAAGAAAUGAUUAAUCUUUGAGGGGAGGCUCUGCUAACACCCUGACCUGAUGAGCAUGUUACACAGGAGUACUGAAACACCACAGCGCAGGCAGGAGAGGGGCUCUGUGUGUGUGUAUGUGGGGGCGGCGGGGGAAGGGGGAACUACUUGUUGUACAGGCACAGCAGGGAGUUCAGAUCCCAAGAAUCCACAAAAAAGCUGGGCAGGUGCAGGAAUACACAAGUCUGUAAUCCCCACUCACUCACAUCCUAGAAGAUGCAGAUGGAGACCAGAGAACCACCAGAAGCCCGCUGGUCAGAUAGAGUAGUGUUACACACACACACACACACACACACACACACACACACACACACACACACGCAUGCACAUGUGUACACUCAUACACACAUGCACACUCAAACAUACACACUCGCACACACAAAACCAUGUACCCAUGUACACCCACGUGCAAAAAUACCUGACAAUGUGCACCAAAACCUGCGUAUAGUAGAAAAAUUCAUAUUUUUAUUAAAAUUUCUAUUAAAAAAUUAAUAGAAGUGGUUUGUUUAAAAGAAAAAAAAGAUGGACAUGAUUAUGCAUGAAACUGUCAUCCCAGCUACUUGGGAGGCUGAGACAGGAGGCUUGCUAUGAGUUUAAGGGCAGCCUGGUCUAUACAGCAAAUUUCAGGUCAGUCAAGACUAUGUGGUAAGAUACUGCCUGGGGACAAAAGGAAACAGACCUCACCUCUCCUGGUAGGGUGCUUUACCCCGUCACGUCGUCACAUAAAUGUGAGACUAGAAUAAAGACACUUUCAGCCACACAAGGUCUCACACUCUAUUGGAAGGAAGCUUGGGAAAAUACCUAUAAUCCAGCACAUCUAUAAUCUAUUAUAAUAUCUAUAAUCCAGCACAUGAGACGAGGGAAAGGGAUCUUUGUUGUGAGGCUGAAAAGCGUCUAUGCAGUGACGCCCUGACUCAUGGUUCAGGCCUGCCAGGCCCUGCCAUCUGCUGCUGGACCUGACAAGUGGUGGGGACAUCUUCUGGCCCCAGUCUACAAUCAGAACCCAGGUGCUGCCUGGAUUUGGAUACUCAGUCACCUGUCCUAGAGGACAUGCUCCAACCAGGGGGGUGAACUGAGCAAGAGGAGGGCACAAAAGCAGUCACAACCCACAGGUAGAGAGAAAGAGUUCCAAGGAUCACCACAAAGGAACAUCAGGAAUGUCAACCAUCACAGCCACAUGCCGAGUGGAUCCAGCAUGAGUACAGACCCCCAAAAGUGGACAGAGAUAUUUUCAACCCACUGUGACUGUCUCGAUGCAAAGCCAUUCUGAAGGUUAUCAGGAGUGUAGAAGGAAUUAGCAACAGGCACAAAGAAAACAAGGCAAGCUGGGCGGUGGUGGCGCAUGCCUUUAAUCCCAGCACCGGGAGGCAGAGGCAGGGGGAUCUCUGAGUUUGAGGCCAACUUAGUCUACAGAGACAGUUCCAGGAUGGCCAAGGCUACACAGAGAAACUCCAUCUCUUAAAACCAGAAAGAGAGAGAAAGAGAGAGAGAGAGAGAGAGAGAGAGAGAGAGAGAGAGAGAGAGAGAGAAGGAAAGAAGAAAGGAAAGAAAAAAGACAAGGCAAGCGAAACACAAGGCAACCACUAACUACAGGGAAAAUAAAAAGGAAACUCAUUAGGUUCAGCUGUGAAUAAGUUACAUUGACACAAUAAUGCAAAUGUUAUGUUGGUUUAACAAAGGUGCUUACACACACACACACACACACACACACACACA
Peromyscus californicus insignis is the source of this 7424-nucleotide long non-coding RNA. RefSeq lists it as uncharacterized. The record is from RefSeq and is a predicted model, not a curated record. NCBI's taxonomy places the organism in Eukaryota, Metazoa, Chordata, Mammalia, Rodentia, Cricetidae. The transcript has 2 exons.